This 497-nucleotide ribosomal RNA is filed under the name uncultured bacterium. RNAcentral's name for it is "partial 16S ribosomal RNA". It matches the Rfam family "Bacterial small subunit ribosomal RNA", at positions 28 to 507 of the family's 1533-position model. The record is from RNAcentral.
GAUGAACGCUGGCGGCGUGCCUAAUACAUGCAAGUCGAGCGAACAGACGAGGAGCUUGCUCCUCUGACGUUAGCGGCGGACGGGUGAGUAACACGUGGAUAACCUACCUAUAAGACUGGGAUAACUUCGGGAAACCGGAGCUAAUACCGGAUAAUAAAUUGAACCGCAUGGUUCAAUAGUGAAAGACGGUUUUGCUGUCACUUAUAGAUGGAUCCGCGCCGCAUUAGCUAGUUGGUAAGGUAACGGCUUACCAAGGCAACGAUGCGUAGCCGACCUGAGAGGGUGAUCGGCCACACUGGAACUGAGACACGGUCCAGACUCCUACGGGAGGCAGCAGUAGGGAAUCUUCCGCAAUGGGCGAAAGCCUGACGGAGCAACGCCGCGUGAGUGAUGAAGGUCUUCGGAUCGUAAAACUCUGUUAUUAGGGAAGAACAAAUGUGUAAGUAACUAUGCACGUCUUGACGGUACCUACUCAGAAAGCCACGGCUAACUACGUG